CAACAAAAAAUUGAAAAGGUUAAUGAAUAAUAGAAUAUGCCAAACAUCUAAUAUUUAUUUCAUUCUUGGAGCAAGUAAUAGCUAAGUGGUUAUCUCCCUUGAAUUGUAAUCCAUUGUAGCAUCAUCCUCAAAAACCAAUGAGACACUCCUCAUGUCAUUUGGGAUUUGAGCAAAACUGGUCUCAGGAGUUACUGAUAAUACUGUGGCAUAAAUAUAAGCUGUUCAAUAAAUAUAAAAUAGAUGUAUUGGGGAGGGGGUGGGGAGGUCUUAAGGUCACAGGUAUCACAAGGCCUAUAUGCCCCCACACCCCCUCCCCAAGGGGGCACAAGCCGCACAACAAUUUAAAGUAUAGUAGAGUUAGCAGACUCAUAACAUUUUUUUACAUUUCGCCUUCAUGUUCCUACAACCAGGUUAAUUCCCAGUGAACUAUACCUGUAAGGUCAUCCCUGAAGACGUGUCUGCGACAGCCUUUCUCCGCCCUUCCUUGCCACCACCAUGCCUUUGAGCUGCCUGUUGACUAGCUCUGAUCUCUGACUGGAGGGCUCUGCCAAAUGCUUUCCCGACAACUUGGACCCCAGCUAAGGCAACCUGGAUGAUAUUUUUAAGCUGGAAAAGAAAACAUCCAGACGAAGUAGUAAAUAAAAUCUCAGAAAAAGUAGUUAUGUACAAAGAUAUAAGUUUGAAAAAAAAA
This is a long non-coding RNA of Pecten maximus, 691 nucleotides long. RefSeq lists it as uncharacterized. NCBI's taxonomy places the organism in Eukaryota, Metazoa, Mollusca, Bivalvia, Pectinida, Pectinidae. The record is from RefSeq and is a predicted model, not a curated record. The transcript is spliced from 2 exons.